UUAUAGCAAUAUGAUUGAGCUAGAGCGGCGCACGGGUGAGUAACGCGUACACGACCUACCCUAUACAGGGGGAUAGCCUUGGGAAACUGAGAUUAAUACCCCAUGGUAUUGUUUGACUUCCUGGUUAGACAAUUAAAGCUGAGGCGGUAUAGGAUGGGUGUGCGUCUGAUUAGCUAGUUGGUAGUGUAACGGACUACCAAGGCGAUGAUCAGUAGGGGGCGUGAGAGCGUGACCCCCCACACGGGUACUGAGACACGGACCCGACUCCUACGGGAGGCAGCAGUAAGGAAUAUUGGUCAAUGCCCGCAAGGGUGAACCAGCCAUCCCGCGUGCAGGAAGAAGGGGCUCUGCCUUGUAAACUGCUUUUGCAUGGGACGAAAAAAGGGGAUUUAUCCUCGACUGACGGUACCAUGAGAAUAAGCACCGGCUAACUCCGUGCCAGCAGCCGCGGUAAUACGGAGGGUGCGAGCGUUAUCCGGAAUCACUGGGUUUAAAGGGUGCGUAGGCG
This 508-nucleotide ribosomal RNA is filed under the name uncultured bacterium. RNAcentral describes it as "bacterial SSU rRNA". It matches the Rfam family "Bacterial small subunit ribosomal RNA", at positions 74 to 577 of the family's 1533-position model. The record is from RNAcentral.